UCAGGACGAACGCUGGCGGCGUGCCUAACACAUGCAAGUCGAACGGAGAUAUGAUUUCGGUUGUAUCUUAGUGGCGAACGGGUGAGUAACGCGUGAGCAACCUGACUCUUAGAGGGGGAUAACACUCGGAAACGAGUGCUAAUACCGCAUAAGACCACGACAUGGCAUCAUGACGAGGUCAAAGGAGCAAUCCGCUGAGAGAGGGGCUCGCGUCCCAUUAGAUAGAUGGCGGGGUAACGGCCCACCAUGUCAACGAUGGGUAGCCGAGCUGAGAGGCUGAUCGGCCACACUGGAACUGAGACACGGUCCAGACUCCUACGGGAGGCAGCAGUGGGGAAUAUUGGGCAAUGGGCGCAAGCCUGACCCAGCAACGCCGCGUGAGGGAAGAAGGCUUUCGGGUUGUAAACCUCUGUCCUUGGUGACGAAAAAAUGACGGUAGCCAAGGAGGAAGCCCCGGCUAACUACGUGCCAGCAGCCGCGGUAA
RNAcentral lists this ribosomal RNA (484 nucleotides) under uncultured Eubacteriales bacterium. RNAcentral describes it as "bacterial SSU rRNA". It matches the Rfam family "Bacterial small subunit ribosomal RNA", at positions 24 to 523 of the family's 1533-position model. The record is from RNAcentral. Lineage: Bacteria; Bacillati; Bacillota; Clostridia; Eubacteriales.